UACGUAGGGUGCAAGCGUUGUCCGGAAUUAUUGGGCGUAAAGAGCUCGUAGGCGGUCUGUCGCGUCGGCUGUGAAAACUCGGGGCUCAACUCCGAGCUUGCAGUCGAUACGGGCAGACUAGAGUGCGGUAGGGGAGACUGGAAUUCCUGGUGUAGCGGUGAAAUGCGCAGAUAUCAGGAGGAACACCGGUGGCGAAGGCGGGUCUCUGGGCCGUAACUGACGCUGAGGAGCGAAAGCAUGGGGAGCGAACAGG
RNAcentral lists this ribosomal RNA (253 nucleotides) under uncultured bacterium. RNAcentral describes it as "partial 16S ribosomal RNA". It matches the Rfam family "Bacterial small subunit ribosomal RNA", at positions 524 to 776 of the family's 1533-position model. The record is from RNAcentral.